This is an RNA transcript of Helianthus annuus (common sunflower), 4269 nucleotides long. It is a transcript of the gene named 40S ribosomal protein S2-2, with no coding region annotated. The record is from RefSeq and is a predicted model, not a curated record. The transcript is spliced from 6 exons. Lineage: Eukaryota; Viridiplantae; Streptophyta; Magnoliopsida; Asterales; Asteraceae.
CACGUCACAAACACAAAUAAUAGAAAGAUAGACUUCCAGAAGUUUUAGAGAGGGAGAGAAGAGAAGAGAGAUACGGUGGAAGGACCACCGUUUCUGGUGGUGAACCCGGCUGCGCACGACAGCGCCUCUCACUUCCGACGCAUAAACGACUGCCAUGGCGGUGGUGAGUUGUGGAGUUGUACUUCGGAAACAAACCUGGGCCGGUCAACGAACCCGGUUCAAGGCGUUUGUGGUGGUGGGUGAUGGUAACGGGCACGUGGGUUUGGGGGUGAAGUGUUUGAAGGAGGUUGCGAUUGCUAUUAGGGGUGCGAUUAUUCUGGCGAAGUUGUCGGUCGUUCCGGUGAGGAGAGGGUAUUGGGGGAAUAAAAUUGGGAACGUCCAUACGGUGCUGACUAAGGUGACGGGAAAAUGUGGGUCGGUUACGGUUAGGUUGGUUUCUGCGCCUUGUGGGGCCAGGAUUGUGGCUGCCAGAGUGCCCAAGAAGGUGUUGCAGUUUGCUGGGAUUGCUGAUGUGUUUACGUCAUCGAGGGGAUCUGCUAAGACUCUCGGGAACUUUGUGAAGUAUACCAGAUCAAUCACACGCAGUGAAUACAUGUACGAUUCGCUAAUGAAUCGAAAAAGAUAUCUUAUUGUAACCAAUGGUGUUGAGGUUCACCUCUUGGGUUUCUUCACCAAUUGUGGAAAGAUUCGCUUUUACUGCUGGGACACAACUGGACAGCGUGUAUUGCAACCGUGUCCGUGCGACGGCGGUGACAGAGACGCGGUGGCAACCGGCUACGGGCACGGCUUCUCCAUUCGUUCUGCAAUUCUCCGACAAAGGGGCUAUUGUGAAUAUUGGUUCUCAUGCUGCAAUAAAAGUGUAUGUGAUCAGUUUUCGAGGUGGUGUUUGUAUGUUGAGGAUCAUGUUCAUUAGUGGUGGUUGCAACAUUUCAAAGACAUAAAGCAAUAGGUCUCACGCCACAACACGCGGAGACAACCAACUUAGCGAACGCUUUGUCCCUCCGACGCAACGCACGACAGGCUAAUUUCAUAUCAUUCUCAACAGCUUCACUUGAAUGAAUGAUUUGUUUUUAAUCCUUUUGAAAGAGGGGCAGCUAUUAAACUUUUUACAUGUAUUUAAAAUUAAGUAUCAUGUGGAAAAGAGCUCCCUGGUCUGUUUUGAAACGUGACAAGAGAAAGUAAGUGUUCUGUCGGUCUGUCGGUUCCAAAAGGUAGUAGCAAAGUGGAGAAGAUAUCAACUGUAAUAACUGGAGCUGACAAAAAGUUGCUGAAAAUAGAACUCCAAGACAAGGGGUAAGUCUUCUCCUUCAUAACCAAAUUAUUAUAACGGUGCUUAUUACACUUGGUAGGCUAACAAGUUUAUACUUUGUUUGUGAAACAUGUCAAAUUGCCACCGCUGCAUGAGUACGAUGUAAAAGUCAUACAAAGUGUAUAUUUAUAAACUUAAAUAUUUUGCUCCAAAAAUAUUGUAAAUUAUAAACUAAGGUACCACAUGUUUCAUGCAUGGUUUUGUGCUAUUACACAAUUAUUAAUAUAAAUAUAACAUUGUAGUUAUACUUGUUACUCGGAUUUAUGUGACGAAAGAAGCAUGAUAAGGUCUUUAUAUCUAAUUGACUGCACAUCAAUUUCGUUGGCCGCGGCGCAACGCGCGCGGCUCACUUUUCUAGUUACAUCUAUAGAAAACUAUUGUUUCAACAUUAAACUUUGGGGAUGGAUGAUGUAUAAAGACAACACACCUAUUAAACCGUGGCCUAUUGUGAGGCGUGGGUUGGGAGCAUGGUGCGACACGUGAAGUAUAGGGCACUUAAGACCAAAAGCCAAUUUCAAAGGGGUAUGAUGGGGCGUGGCUGGGUGGCGUGGCCAAGCCACAUCAUAAUGAGGUUCCGCCAUGGCUAUUGCUCUUGGCCAAUGAGGUUCCGCCAUGUCAUGUGGGUAGCCCCGCCCAACGCCCGGGCUGAAUCCCACACCAAAAGGGUCACGCUGAAACCCAAGCCCACCCGGGGUGGUGACUUGGGCGUUUGUACCCAACCCCCGCCCCAUACGCCAUAGUGGAUAAUGGAUUUUAAUAAUCCAAACUAUUAGCUGUUGGCCGGUAACAGUCCCAACUUCAAAAAUAACCAGUGGUGGUCCCACUUUUUCACAUAUUGUAAAUUAAUGGACUUUUACUAAAAAAAACAUUAAUUUCUUUUUGUCCCCUUAUCAUUUUCGGUUUAGUAAAGGUCCAUUGGUUUACAAUAUACAAAAAGGUGGGACCACUACUGGUUAUUUUUUAAGUUGGGACCGUUGCCGGCUAACGGCUAAUAGUUAGGACUAUUAAAAUCCAAUAUUUCUUACCUAAAUACAACAAAUACAAAGGUCGGCGGGAAUAGUGCCUCCCAUUGAUUUGAUUGGAGGAAAGGGGCGACAAGGGGAAUAGUACAAGACACCUGCCUGGCACUUCCCUAUUGGCCCAAUUAAUUUAUGAUUUUAUUCCGCUUUAAAAUUAUGAUUUUGCCGUCCGUUCAAAAUUACGUUUUUGCCCCUAGUUAAAUAUAUAUUUACCCUUUUGCCCCAGCUCAAAAUUACGAUUUUGCCCUCGAUAGAAAAAAUACGAUUUGACCCUCAGCCAAAAUUACGAUUUUGCCCCAGUUCAAAAUAAAAAAUAUGUUUUUCCCUAGCUAAAAGUUACGAUUUUACACCAUUUUAUUAUUUUGCACCAUUUUAAAAUGACGUUUUCCGCCUCCAAUUUAAAAUUACGUCCCCCCCCCCCCCUUAAAAAUAAACAUAUGCUUUUGCCCCCGCUCAAAAUUAUGAUUUUACCCUCAUUUCAAAAAUACGUUUUCGCCCCCAGUUCAAAAUAAAAAUAUGGUUUUCCCCUGUUCAAAAUUACGAGUUUAUCAUCGGUUUAAAAUUAUGAUUUUGCCUCCAGUUCAAAAUAAAAUAUAGUAUUGUUUUUUAAUUGGUUGAGAAUUAUUCGGCCAUCGUCCCGCAACGCAGGCGAGGCAUCAACUAGUUGGCAAACAAACUAAAAGUGAAUUAUGGUUUUUUUUCUUAAAUAAAUUUAAUGUUAUAUACUUAUAUUCAUACAACCACUAGUAGUUUAGUGGCGUCCAUGACAUUAUAGCUUAGUGACAUCUUAAGGGUGAUAUAAGGUUUAGGACCAUCAGGUUCCCGGUUCGAUUCCCACAAUAGAGUUUUUUCCAGAUUUAUUGGGUUUCCUCCUGAAUUUGUGUAUAGGUAUUAUAGCAUAGUGGAGAUAGAUAUGAUCGGGUCGUUCUGUUGGUGACACGAUGAUACUCCAGUGGUCCGUCAGUGAUCCAAAUUUACCGUUAAGAAAAGUAGUUUAGUGGCAAAGGUGUAUGAGUUUUUUAUGGUUCAGGCAUAGAUCUAGAAACAAUCAUAUCUCAUGGUUGGAUUGGUGUAAUUUUUCUUUGAUGUAAUUUUUGGUUUCCCCGCUCGGUUUUCGGGCUUGGAGUUGUGCUUAAUGAAAUUUUCUUUUAAAAAAAAAGGUUCGAGUCUCAUUUGAGACCUACGGUAGAAUUAUAUAUAUCUAUGGUUCCCAUUAAGUCUAACCACCAUCAAAAUAAAUAUCCACCAUUGGAUCAUGCUAAGAUGAAAUCUCAACCAUUUAAACUCAUUUUUUAACUGCUAUUGUGGCAGUUCACAACAGUUUCUUCUACCUUCAACCCACAUCUACAUCUUCAACCCACGUCUUCAUCCUUCCCCUAUUGAUAAGUUUCAUUGGUUUCUCUAGAAACUCCCCACUCCCCUACUACUUCGCCUGAAACUAGUAACAACCCCGCUCCCCAUAUUCCACCGUUGUUGUUACGCACAGACUUACAAACCCUGGAACCCCUUCUUCUUCUUCUUCUUCUCUCCUCUCUCUCUCUCUCUAGCGAUGACAUAAGCACUUCCAAAAACAAAGAUCAGUGCAAUUCUGAUAGUUGCAACGCAACAAUCGAACCCUAAUCGAACAACCACUGCCCUCGCUUCGACGACUCCUGCAAUUUGAUUUGUUAUGUUUCACAUGACCAAGUAACAGUCGAACUCUCUCUUCAAUUUUUUCGAUUAUGGCUUUGUCAAUUUUUAUUUGGUUUAUCAUCACGACGACUUAAAUAUAGAAUCUAAUCUCUCUGUGAUGGAUAGAUUCUAUGGUGGUGGUAUGAAUGGUUUAAGAGGUAAGAGAACUCUGCUUCUUAACGAAAAAGUAAACUUAAAAAAACUCUCUCAUAGAACUGAAAUUGGACUUCUUCUUUAAAUAUUUUGAAAUCUAGCUGAAAAUGAGAUUAU